RNAcentral lists this long non-coding RNA (1339 nucleotides) under Canis lupus familiaris (dog). RNAcentral's name for it is "lncRNA (ENSCAFG00030014717.1)". The record is from RNAcentral. Lineage: Eukaryota; Metazoa; Chordata; Mammalia; Carnivora; Canidae.
GGGGGGGUGUGCACCUGAUGGCAGAGGUGCGUCCUCCGGGAGUGGCCUCUGUUCUGGCGUCCUGUCCUGUGGUUGGCUUCCCUUUGCUCUGUCGCCUGCCAGGGAACGCCCUCAGCUGCUGGUCUGUGGUGGCCGCCCCUCGGAGGUCCUGCCCUCCACUGGGGGUCCCCGCUGUGCAGUUGGGGACUCCGAGGGAGGGCCCAAGUGGGGGUUGCCUGAGGGCCCCCAUCGAUCUUACUGGCCCAUGGGGACCUGUGCAAGUGCAAGCAGGGGGAGGGUUGAGGUUGGCAGACCUGGCCCAAACUGUCCUCCCCCACCCACCAGAAAACAGGUCCCACCCCUCCCUGCACCCAGCAGGCCGUCGUGCGCCAGGUCUGGGUUUUCACGAGGAGCUCUGCUUUGCGAAGCUGCACUGGGACGUCAGGGCAGCAUCCGGGCACAGCUCACUAGCCCAGGGCAGGCAGCGGACACGUGGGGUGGCACCUAGAAGUGCCCCAAAGCCUCCUGGGCUUCUGGAAGCCCUGUGUCCUGGCCCGUGUGCCAUCCAGCCUCAUCCUCCACUAGUGGCGAGCCCGGUUCACGUCCUCAGCUGCCGGGCAGGCCCUGAGUGUGUACCAGGGUGUAGCCUUCAGAGGAAAGGGUGGCUGCGGUUGGUUCCUGUGUCCACCAGUAUUGACAAAGCAUCUGUGCCAGGGGUUUCAGUGGGCAAACACCAAGGAGCUGAGGCACUCACCAUGGCGGGAGGGUGGGGGUGGGGGUGGUGUCCAGGAAGGGGGUUUUGAGGAGACCUGAAGCUUCCAGCUGCUUGAAGAAAGAGGAAAGGCCAUUCCCUCAACUGAGGGAGUAGGGAGGUGCUCAACCUGUGCAAAGGCCCUGAGGCAGCAGCGAGCACAGGUUAUCUGAGAGUGACACUACUGUGAUUUAAAACUUGAGGGACAAAAAAAACUAAAAAAAUAAUAAAUAAAUAAAUAAAUAAAACUUGAUGGACAGCUGUUUGAACCUCUUCUCGGUCCACCUCUUGGCAUCCAUCCCCCCCUUAGUUCUUCCUUUCGGCCCUCAGCGGCUCCAGUCCACAUGACCUUACCUUCACUUAGUGGCCUUUGCGGUCUCAGGGAGGUGACCUCGUGGGCCGUGGGUGGACCGUAUCCCUGCCCCUGGGGUGUAAUGAGGAUUCUAGACCUACACCCCCAGCUGAGGCUGCAAGGGCGCCUGUCAAGACAGAAAUACAGCCUGGCAACCCCCGUGCCUAAGAGCCCUGGCCAGUGCAGGCCCGAGGGCUCCAGGGGGACGUUCGCCAGGAGACCCCCAAGGCUCCCAGCACGUGGCUUCCAGGGAAGCU